Molecule: long non-coding RNA, 219 nt
Filed under: Mytilus galloprovincialis (Mediterranean mussel)
Lineage: Eukaryota; Metazoa; Mollusca; Bivalvia; Mytilida; Mytilidae
Source: RNAcentral
CCCUUUUUCUGAAACAAUAACAUAACAUCACAACAUAGAAAAACACACGAUAAAAUAUCAAUUGGCAGACUUAACUCAAUCAAAAAACGUAAAUUAAUACACAAUGAACGAAUAAAUUUGAUCUGAAUGCAAAUGCACAGUUAAUAAAAUAUAAGAUACAAACACUCAAGGCCAAAAAGCAAACAAACAAGUUCAAACAAAGCCAUGGCAAGACACCAC